Molecule: ribosomal RNA, 492 nt
Filed under: uncultured bacterium
Lineage: Bacteria
Description: partial 16S ribosomal RNA
Rfam family: Bacterial small subunit ribosomal RNA
Source: RNAcentral
AGUGAACGCUGGCGGUAGGCCUAACACAUGCAAGUCGAACGGCAGCACAGUAAGAGCUUGCUCUUACGGGUGGCGAGUGGCGGACGGGUGAGGAAUACAUCGGAAUCUACUUUUUCGUGGGGGAUAACGUAGGGAAACUUACGCUAAUACCGCAUACGACCUACGGGUGAAAGCAGGGGAUCUUCGGACCUUGCGCGAUUGAAUGAGCCGAUGUCGGAUUAGCUAGUUGGCGGGGUAAAGGCCCACCAAGGCGACGAUCCGUAGCUGGUCUGAGAGGAUGAUUCGCCCCACUGGAACUGGGACACGGGCCCGGCUCCUACGGGAGGGAGCCGUUGGGAAUUUUGGACAAUGGGCGCAAGCCUGAUCCAGCCAUACCGCGUGGGUGAAGAAGGCCUUCGGGUUGUAAAGCCCUUUUGUUGGGAAAGAAAAGCAGCAGGUUAAUACCCCGCUGUUCUGACGGUACCCAAAGAAUAAGCACCGGCUAACUUCGUG